This 251-nucleotide ribosomal RNA is filed under the name uncultured bacterium. Its description in RNAcentral is "partial 16S ribosomal RNA". It matches the Rfam family "Bacterial small subunit ribosomal RNA", at positions 103 to 354 of the family's 1533-position model. The record is from RNAcentral.
CGGGUGAGUAACGCGUGGAUAACCUGCCGUAUGCAGGGGGAUACCAACUGGAAACAGUUGCUAAUACCGCAUAAGCGCACAGCACCGCAUGGUGCAGUGUGAAAAGAUUUAUCGGCAUACGAUAGAUCCGCGUCCGAUUAGCCAGUUGGCGGGGUAGAAGCCCACCAAAGCGACGAUCGGUAGCCGGCCUGAGAGGGCGGACGGCCACAUUGGGACUGAGACACGGCCCAAACUCCUACGGGAGGCAGCAG